Molecule: ribosomal RNA, 279 nt
Filed under: uncultured bacterium
Lineage: Bacteria
Description: partial 16S ribosomal RNA
Rfam family: Bacterial small subunit ribosomal RNA
Source: RNAcentral
UGCCAGCCGCCGCGGUAAUACAGAGGGUGCGAGCGUUGUCCGGAUUUAUUGGGCGUAAAGCGUUUGUAGGCGGUUUGCCAAGUCUGAAGUGAAAGAAUGAAGCUCAACUUCAUCCACGCUUUGGAAACUGGUAGACUAGAGAAUGUUAGGGGUAAGUGGAAUUUCCAGUGUAGCGGUGAAACGCGUAGAUAUUGGAAGGAACACCGGAGGCGAAGGCGACUUACUGGGACAUUUCUGACGCUGAGAAACGAAAGCCAGGGUAGCGAAUGGGAUUAGAUA